RNAcentral lists this unclassified non-coding RNA (211 nucleotides) under Chamaenerion latifolium. RNAcentral describes it as "partial miscellaneous RNA". Lineage: Eukaryota; Viridiplantae; Streptophyta; Magnoliopsida; Myrtales; Onagraceae. The record is from RNAcentral.
AUCUAUUCGUCACCCAACCUCUGCUCCCCAUAUAGGAGCUCGGGUCCUGGUUACGGAAGUUGGCCUCCCGUGGUCUCGAAGCGCGGCUGGCCUAAAAUUGAGCAUCGGGUUGGUGAUCUCCGAGGCACGCGGUGGUUGUUCAUUCUUACCUCGUGAUGUUGCCCCGGAGCAUCUUCCACAAGAAGCUCCAUGACCCUAGAUACAUAUCGAU